UGUUAAUCAAGAAGGUGUUUAACACUAAUUAAUCCAUAAUUAGGUGUUAAACACAGUGACUUGUGCAGCAAGCAACGAGUUCGAAUUCAAAUUAAAGAGAAGAGAAGGAAGAGGAAAGCAACGGCUAGUUUGACCAAGGAGGAAGACCGUACGGACGCGCUAAGGAGUGGUCCUCGUCCUCUUGUGCGAGCUGUCCCAUUUUGUCCUAUUAGUGAGCUGUCUCUAGCUAGGGUAACUAAAGGUGUGUGUAAAAGGCUGAAUAAGGAUGCAAUGGUGUCUAUGUGCAUAACCUAUUCAGACCUAGAGAUUGUCUAUAUAAACACACAUCCGCUACUCAUCUAUGUGAUACACUUACACUUUUUCAAUACAUUUUCACGAUUCUUCUCUACAUUUAAACAUGGUUCUCUUUCAUUUCUUUCCUCCCUAAAUCUUUCUCAAUCUUGGUUACUAGUCUUGAUUCGAUUCUUUAG
Molecule: long non-coding RNA, 470 nt
Filed under: Arabidopsis lyrata
Lineage: Eukaryota; Viridiplantae; Streptophyta; Magnoliopsida; Brassicales; Brassicaceae
Description: long non-coding RNA (ALYR_LNC000298)
Source: RNAcentral